RNAcentral lists this ribosomal RNA (397 nucleotides) under uncultured bacterium. RNAcentral's name for it is "bacterial SSU rRNA". It matches the Rfam family "Bacterial small subunit ribosomal RNA", at positions 76 to 467 of the family's 1533-position model. The record is from RNAcentral.
GAGCUUGCUCUCGAAGCUUAGCGGCGAACGGGUGAGUAACACGUGGGCAACCUGCCCGAUAGACCGGGAUAACUUGGGGAAACUCAAGCUUAAUACCGGAUAGGAUCAUUGACUGCCUGGUUGGUGAUGGAAAGUCUGAACGACACUAUCGGAUGGGCCCGCGACGCAUUAGCUAGUUGGUGGGGUAACGGCCUACCAAGGCGACGAUGCGUAGCCGACCUGAGAGGGUGACCGGCCACACUGGGACUGAGACACGGCCCAGACUCCUACGGGAGGCAGCAGUAGGGAAUCUUCCGACAAUGGGCGAAAGCCUGAUGGAGCAACGCCGCGUGAGUGAUGAAGGUUUUCGGAUCGUAAAACUCUGUUGUUAGGGAAGAACACCCGGGAGAGGUCCCGG